GUUAUGCUGUGCUUCUUAAAAUAAGCUGGAAUGCAAUGGCGCCAUCUUGGUUCACUGCAACCUCUGCCUCACGGGUUCAACUGAUUGUCCUGCCUCAGCCUCCCAGGUAGCUGGGACUACACCACACUGGGACUACACCAGCUGCCACCAUGCCUGGCUAAUUUUUUGUAUUUUUAGUAGAGACGGGGUUUCAGUAUAUUGGCCAGGAUGGUCUUCAUCUCCUCCCCUUGUGAUCCUCUUGCCUUGGCCUCCCAUAGUGCUGGGAUUACAGGCCUGAGCCAAGAUACAUAUUUGUUAAAGGA
This 302-nucleotide long non-coding RNA is filed under the name Homo sapiens (human). RNAcentral describes it as "HSALNT0404921". Lineage: Eukaryota; Metazoa; Chordata; Mammalia; Primates; Hominidae. The record is from RNAcentral.